This 28-nucleotide non-coding RNA is filed under the name Homo sapiens (human). Lineage: Eukaryota; Metazoa; Chordata; Mammalia; Primates; Hominidae. The record is from RNAcentral.
UACCCAUCAGGACAAGACCUCACAUGAC